This 72-nucleotide transfer RNA is filed under the name Haloferax sp. wsp5. RNAcentral's name for it is "tRNA-Arg". It matches the Rfam family "tRNA". From Rfam's summary of the family: Transfer RNA (tRNA) molecules are approximately 80 nucleotides in length. Their secondary structure includes four short double-helical elements and three loops (D, anti-codon, and T loops). Further hydrogen bonds mediate the characteristic L-shaped molecular structure. tRNAs have two regions of fundamental functional importance: the anti-codon, which is responsible for specific mRNA codon recognition, and the 3' end, to which the tRNAs corresponding amino acid is attached (by aminoacyl-tRNA synthetases). tRNAs cope with the degeneracy of the genetic code in two manners: having more than one tRNA (with a specific anti-codon) for a particular amino acid; and 'wobble' base-pairing, i.e. permitting non-standard base-pairing at the 3rd anti-codon position. Lineage: Archaea; Methanobacteriati; Methanobacteriota; Halobacteria; Halobacteriales; Haloferacaceae. The record is from RNAcentral.
GGGCGGCUAGUUCAGCGGACAGAGCGCCGGUUCCGGACCAGAUGGUCGGGGGUUCGAAUCCCUCGCCGCCCU